RNAcentral lists this ribosomal RNA (490 nucleotides) under uncultured bacterium. RNAcentral's name for it is "partial 16S ribosomal RNA". It matches the Rfam family "Bacterial small subunit ribosomal RNA", at positions 28 to 507 of the family's 1533-position model. The record is from RNAcentral.
GAUGAACGCUAGCUACAGGCUUAACACAUGCAAGUCGAGGGGCAGCAUGGUCUUAGCUUGCUAAGGCCGAUGGCGACCAGCGCACGGGUGAGUAACACGUAUCCAACCUGCCGUCUACUCUUGGACAGCCGUCUGAAAGGAAGAUUAAUACAAGAUGGCAUCAUGAGUCCGCAUGUUCACAUGAUUAAAGGUAUUCCUGUAGACGAGGAGGAUGCGUUCCAUUAGAUAGUAGGCGGGGUAACGGCCCACCUAGUCUUCGAUGGAUAGGGGUUCUGAGAGGAAGGUCCCCCCCAUUGGAACUGAGACACGGUCCAAACUCCUACGGGAGGCAGCAGUGAGGAAUAUUGGUCAAUGGGCGCAGGCCUGAACCAGCCAAGUAGCGUGAAGGAUGACUGCCCUAUGGGUUGUAACCUUCUUUUAUAAAGGAAUAAAGUCGGGUAUGUAUACCCGUUUGCAUGUACUUUAUGAAUAAGGAUCGGCUAACUCCGUG